Molecule: long non-coding RNA, 1242 nt
Filed under: Elaeis guineensis (African oil palm)
Lineage: Eukaryota; Viridiplantae; Streptophyta; Magnoliopsida; Arecales; Arecaceae
Description: long non-coding RNA (EGUI_LNC001179)
Source: RNAcentral
GCCAUAAUUCAAGUCAUAUAGAUUUGAAGAACAACAAACAGCAAAACUUGAGAAGCAUAGGCUCCUCACAUAGAGACAACAGCCUCACUUUCUAUCGUGCAAAGCAGCCGUACACUUUAUCUCUCCAAGGUGGAAUCCCAAUCUAUUUUCCUAAGCUUACUGAAUUCAAUGGAGGCCUGAAGUUUCUCCAUUUCAGAUUUCACAAUCAAAAAGUAAAUGUAAAUGCAUGUAGUCUUUUUCCUCGAAAAGAAAUGAUUUCUCAGGGGCAAAAAAGAAUAUCGCCAAAUUAAAUUUAAAAUCCCGACAUCACUCAGAACAGUAACAAUGAUAAAGCUUCACAAUCUAGACUUCUUUUUUGGUACAUCCAUCUGAAGAUCUUCAGCAACUCAAAACUGUGGAGUGUCAUCAUAACUUGCUGCAGUACAGCAUCAGAUAAGAACUAAGAGAGCCCAAAAAAAAAAAGAAGAGAGAGAGAGAAUAAAAGACACACGCACACGUUCUGCAAGUUGGACAAUGACAAACCCACAUACCUCAUACCCCGGUCCUUUAAGGAGUGCAUGUUAGACCAAGCAUUAUCUUUCUCUAUUUAUGGUAAGCUUGUGGGAAUGCCAAGUGCAUGCAUUCAUAUUCCCAAGGUAUGUGACUCAAAGUGAAGGUUUUAUUCCUCCAAUUUAAAUAAAACUUCGAGGUAUAUACACAGAGAUCUCCUACCGGUAUAUAUAGAUUCCUAGAAAUUAAAGAGAAAAUGAAAAAAUAGUCAGUACAUCGUUUUGAUAGGCCAUUGAAAUUGCAUUAUGUUCUCUUUUCACGUCAAUAUCUGUGCUUUAACUGUAAAUAUAACAUAAUUCAUGUUGGGGCGAUUCUGGUGGAAUAUGAAAGGACUCUAUAUGUAUUCUCCUCCUGUGUUGUGCAACUGCUCAGAGGCUAAUCGAAAUUAGAAAAUUUCAAACAGGAUGAAGGAUGGGGCCUAGUGCUUCUUCCAAUCGAUGCCCGUGAAUGUGAUGAUCCUAAAAAAGGCAUAGAGGCAGCCCCACCUUAGCAAAUUAUCAAGCACCCCUGUAGAGAGAGAGAGAGAGAGAGAGAGAGAGUANNNNNNNNNNNNNNNNNNNNCGUAGAGAGAGAGAGAGAGAGAGAGAGAGAGGAUUCUCGAGUGGGCCAACCUCUGACUUCCACUAACACAUUCAGACCAUAUAAAUAAAUUAAAAAGUAAGAUCCCGAAACAACACCACACACUUGCCCAUG